UACGAAGGGGGCUAGCGUUGUUCGGAAUGACUGGGCGUAAAGGGCGCGUAGGCGGCGAUGUAAGUCAGGCGUGAAAGCCCCGGGCUCAACCUGGGAACGGCGCUUGAUACUGCGUUGCUUGAGGACGGGAGAGGAUGGUGGAAUUCCCAGUGUAGAGGUGAAAUUCGUAGAUAUUGGGAAGAACACCGGUGGCGAAGGCAGCCCCCUGGGCCAACACUGACGCUCAGGCACGAAAGCGUGGGGAGCAAACAGG
This 253-nucleotide ribosomal RNA is filed under the name uncultured bacterium. RNAcentral describes it as "partial 16S ribosomal RNA". It matches the Rfam family "Bacterial small subunit ribosomal RNA", at positions 524 to 776 of the family's 1533-position model. The record is from RNAcentral.